This 408-nucleotide ribosomal RNA is filed under the name Cryptosporidium baileyi. RNAcentral's name for it is "SSU rRNA". It matches the Rfam family "Eukaryotic small subunit ribosomal RNA", at positions 620 to 1061 of the family's 1831-position model. Lineage: Eukaryota; Apicomplexa; Conoidasida; Eucoccidiorida; Cryptosporidiidae. The record is from RNAcentral.
UAAAAAGCUCGUAGUUGGAUUUCUGUUAAUACUUAUAUACAAUACCCCGGUAUUUAUAUAGUAUUAACAUAAUUCAUAUUACUAAUUUUUAGUAUAUGAAACUUUACUUUGAGAAAAUUAGAGUGCUUAAAGCAGGCAAUUGCCUUGAAUACUCCAGCAUGGAAUAAUAUUAAGGAUUUUUAUCCUUCUUAUUGGUUCUAGGAUAAAAAUAAUGAUUAAUAGGGACAGUUGGGGGCAUUUGUAUUUAACAGUCAGAGGUGAAAUUCUUAGAUUUGUUAAAGACAAACUAGUGCGAAAGCAUUUGCCAAGGAUGUUUUCAUUAAUCAAGAACGAAAGUUAGGGGAUCGAAGACGAUCAGAUACCGUCGUAGUCUUAACCAUAAACUAUGCCGACUAGAGAUGAAAGUGA